UACGUAGGCAGCGAGCGUUGUUCGGAAUUACUGGGCGUAAAGGGCGCGUAGGCGGUGCGGUAAGUCACCUGUGAAAUCUCCUGGCUCAACUGGGAGCUUGCAGGCGAAACUGCCGUGCUGGAGUGUGGGAGAGGUGCGUGGAAUUCCCGGUGUAGCGGUGAAAUGCGUAGAUAUCGGGGAGGAACACCUGUGGCGAAAGCGGCGCACUGGACCACAACUGACGCUGAGGCGCGAAAGCUAGGGGAGCAAACAGG
Molecule: ribosomal RNA, 254 nt
Filed under: uncultured bacterium
Lineage: Bacteria
Description: partial 16S ribosomal RNA
Rfam family: Bacterial small subunit ribosomal RNA
Source: RNAcentral